AUACGGAAGGUGCAAGCGUUAAUCGGAAUCACUGGGCGUAAAGCGCUCGUAGGUGGCUUUGUAAGUCAGGUGUGAAAGCCCACGGCUCAACCGUGGAAUUGCACUUGAUACUGCAUUGCUUGAGUUCGGGAGAGGGUAGUGGAAUUCCAGGUGUAGGUUUAGUGAAAUCCGUAGAGAUCUGGAGGAACACCAGUGGCGAAGGCGACUACCUGGACCGAUACUGACACUGAGGUGCGAAAGCGUGGGGAGC
RNAcentral lists this ribosomal RNA (250 nucleotides) under uncultured bacterium. RNAcentral's name for it is "partial 16S ribosomal RNA". It matches the Rfam family "Bacterial small subunit ribosomal RNA", at positions 523 to 769 of the family's 1533-position model. The record is from RNAcentral.